UACGUAGGGGGCAAGCGUUGUCCGGAAUCAUUGGGCGUAAAGAGCGCGUAGGCGGCCCAGUCAGUCCGCUCUGAAAGUCAGGGGCUCAACCCCUGAAUGCGGGUGGAUACUGCUGGGCUAGAGUCCGGAAGAGGCGAGUGGAAUUCCUGGUGUAGCGGUGAAAUGCGCAGAUAUCAGGAGGAACACCGAUGGCGAAGGCAGCUCGCUGGGACGUAACUGACGCUGAGACGCGAAAGCGUGGGGAGCAAACAGG
RNAcentral lists this ribosomal RNA (253 nucleotides) under uncultured bacterium. RNAcentral's name for it is "partial 16S ribosomal RNA". It matches the Rfam family "Bacterial small subunit ribosomal RNA", at positions 524 to 776 of the family's 1533-position model. The record is from RNAcentral.